Molecule: ribosomal RNA, 253 nt
Filed under: uncultured bacterium
Lineage: Bacteria
Description: partial 16S ribosomal RNA
Rfam family: Bacterial small subunit ribosomal RNA
Source: RNAcentral
UACGAAGGGGGCUAGCGUUGCUCGGAAUCACUGGGCGUAAAGGGUGCGUAGGCGGGUCUUUAAGUCAGGGGUGAAAUCCUGGAGCUCAACUCCAGAACUGCCUUUGAUACUGAGGAUCUUGAGUUCGGGAGGGGUGAGUGGAACUGCGAGUGUAGAGGUGAAAUUCGUAGAUAUUCGGAAGAACACCAGUGGCGAAGGCGGCUCACUGGACCGGCAUUGACGCUGAGGUGCGAAAGCGUGGGGAGCAAACAGG